Molecule: ribosomal RNA, 120 nt
Filed under: Thermothelomyces thermophilus ATCC 42464
Lineage: Eukaryota; Fungi; Ascomycota; Sordariomycetes; Sordariales; Chaetomiaceae
Source: RNAcentral
ACAUACGACCAUAUCCGCUAGGAAGCACGGGAUCCCGUCCGCUCUCCCCGAGUUAAGCUAGCGAGAGCUCGAGUAGUAGUUGGGUCGGUGACGACCAGCGAAUGCCGAGUGUUGUAUGUC